This is a long non-coding RNA of Vigna radiata var. radiata (mung bean), 557 nucleotides long. RefSeq lists it as uncharacterized. The transcript is spliced from 3 exons. NCBI's taxonomy places the organism in Eukaryota, Viridiplantae, Streptophyta, Magnoliopsida, Fabales, Fabaceae. The record is from RefSeq and is a predicted model, not a curated record.
ACCUUUGCAUAUGGCGUUACUGUUCGUAUGAGCUUAAAACACUGGUUUUGGUUUUAGAAGGUUAAUUCAAAGCGGCGUGAGCACGAGAGAGAGAGGAAGAGAAGCAUUCAAUGCCAAAUCCAUAGGCCAUGAGAAGUAGACAAGGUCAAAAAUUUCCAAAGCUCAUUCUUCCUUUCUUUUUUCUCGUUUUCUCUCUUCUCCCUUCUCUUUUUUCUUCUUUUCGAAAACCCUAAGAGAAAGAGGGAUUCUUGGUGCGGCUAGGGGAAGAAGAGAAUCUGAGGCUCAAACGAAGUAACGAAAGAGAUAAUUUAAGAGGAGAGGCGAGAUUUCAAGGUGAGUAAUGGAGAAAGGGUGAAACCCUAAAACCUAGACGAAUGGGAGGUUCUUUGGUGCGAGAGCAAGAGAGAGGAGCAGCAACACGUUUUGGGAAAGAAGGAGAAGAGGACACGAGACAGAGGAAAACCAUGAGCAGCGGGCGCGGAAGAUUGAAGAUCAAGACAAGUGGAGAAUGUCUUUCGUCAUGCCAUCAAAGUAUGGUGCUAACUUGUCACUGCCUA